This 959-nucleotide ribosomal RNA is filed under the name Austrocortinarius australiensis. Its description in RNAcentral is "Cortinarius australiensis partial large subunit ribosomal RNA". It matches the Rfam family "Eukaryotic large subunit ribosomal RNA", at positions 39 to 954 of the family's 3401-position model. The record is from RNAcentral. Lineage: Eukaryota; Fungi; Basidiomycota; Agaricomycetes; Agaricales; Cortinariaceae.
CAUAUCAAUAAGCGGAGGAAAAGAAACUAACCAAGGAUUCCCCUAGUAACUGCGAGUGAAGCGGGAAAAGCUCAAAUUUAAAAUCUGGCAGUCCUUUUGGCUGUCCGAGUUGUAAUCUAGAGAAGCGUUAUCCGCGCUGGACCGUGUACAAGUCUCCUGGAAUGGAGCGUCAUAGAGGGUGAGAAUCCCGUCUUUGACAUGGACUGCCAGGGCUUUUGUGAUACGCUCUCAAAGAGUCGAGUUGUUUGGGAAUGCAGCUCAAAAUGGGUGGUAAAUUCCAUCUAAAGCUAAAUAUUGGCGAGAGACCGAUAGCGAACAAGUACCGUGAGGGAAAGAUGAAAAGAACUUUGGAAAGAGAGUUAAACAGUACGUGAAAUUGCUGAAAGGGAAACGCUUGAAGUCAGUCGCGUUGUCCAGGGAUCAACCUUGCUUUUUGCUUGGUGUACUUUCUGGGUUGACGGGUCAGCAUCAAUUUUGAUCAUUGGAAAAAGGUCAGGGGAAUGUGGCAUCUUUUGGAUGUGUUUAUAGCCCUUGGUUGUAUACAAUGGUUGGGAUUGAGGAACUCAGCACGCCGCAAGGCCGGGUUUUUUUUUUUAAAUAAGAAAAAAUCACGUUUUUACGUGCUUAGGAUGCUGGCAUAAUGGCUUUAAUCGACCCGUCUUGAAACACGGACCAAGGAGUCUAACAUGCCUGCGAGUGUUUGGGUGGAAAACCCGAGCGCGAAAUGAAAGUGAAAGUUGAGAUCCCUGUCGUGGGGAGCAUCGACGCCCGGACCAGACCUUUUGUGACGGUUCCGCGGUAGAGCAUGUAUGUUGGGACCCGAAAGAUGGUGAACUAUGCCUGAAUAGGGUGAAGCCAGAGGAAACUCUGGUGGAGGCUCGUAGCGAUUCUGACGUGCAAAUCGAUCGUCAAAUUUGGGUAUAGGGGCGAAAGACUAAUCGAACCUUCUAGUAGCUUGG